Molecule: ribosomal RNA, 485 nt
Filed under: uncultured bacterium
Lineage: Bacteria
Description: partial 16S ribosomal RNA
Rfam family: Bacterial small subunit ribosomal RNA
Source: RNAcentral
ACUCAAAUGAAUUGACGGGGACCCGCACAAGCAGUGGAGCGCCUGGUUUAAUUCGAUGAUCAGCGAAAAAUCUCACCUGGGCUUGAACUAUAGCUGCUAAGCCUAUGAAAGUAGGAAUCCUUCGAGGGUGCUAUAGAGGUGGUGCACGGUUGUCGUCAGCUCGUGUCGUGAGAUGUAGGGUUAAGUCCCACAACGAGCGCAACCCCUACCGAGUGUUAUAUAUUUCUCUCGGAACUGCCUUGCCAAAACGAGGAGGAAGGAGGGGAUGACGUCCAAUCAGCAUGUCCCUUAUGUCCAGGGCUACACAGACGCUACAAUGGCCAGUACAAUGGGCAGCCAAGCCGCAAGGCGGAGCUAAUCCCAUCAAAGCUGGCCCCAGUUCAGAUUGCAGGCUGGAACUCGCCUGCAUGAAGUCGGAAUUGCUAGUAAUCGCGUAUCAGCAUGGCGCGGUGAAUACGUUCUCGGGUCUUGCACACACCGCCCGU